GACGAACGCUGGCGGCGCGCUUAACACAUGCAAGUCGAACGGAAAGGCCUGCUUUCCCUUGUGGAUUGCGGGUACUCGAGUGGCGAACGGGUGAGUAACACGUGAGUGAUCUGCCCCCAACUUGGGUAUAAGCCUGGGAAACUGGGUCUAAUUCCCGAUAGGACUGCAGGGUGGUGCCUGUGGUGGAAAACGAUGUUCUAGUGGUUGGGGAUGAGCUCGCGGCCUAUCAGCUUGUUGGUGGGGUAAUGGCCUACCAAGGCGGCGACGGGUAGCCGGCCUGAGAGGGUGGACGGCCACAUUGGGACUGAGAUACGGCCCAGACUCCUACGGGAGGCAGCAGUGGGGAAUAUUGCACAAUGGGCGGAAGCCUGAUGCAGCGACGCCGCGGGGGGGAUGACGGCCUUCGGGUUGUAAACUCCUUUCGACCGCGAGGAAGCCACCUGGUUGGAAGGGUGGUGACGGUAGUGGUAGAAGAAGCACCGGCUAACUACGUG
Molecule: ribosomal RNA, 494 nt
Filed under: uncultured bacterium
Lineage: Bacteria
Description: partial 16S ribosomal RNA
Rfam family: Bacterial small subunit ribosomal RNA
Source: RNAcentral